RNAcentral lists this ribosomal RNA (423 nucleotides) under Idarnes carme. RNAcentral's name for it is "eukaryotic LSU rRNA". Lineage: Eukaryota; Metazoa; Arthropoda; Insecta; Hymenoptera; Pteromalidae. The record is from RNAcentral.
UAAACCUGAGAAACCCAAAAGAUCGAAUGGGGAGAUUCAUCGUCAGCCGGAUUGGCCUCCGUGCGGUUCGCGAUGUUCGGCGUGGUCUUCGGGCCAUCGUUGGGCACGCGUCCGCCGCGGUACGUCCGGUUCGGUCGGCGUGCACUUCUCCCCUAGUAGGACGUCGCGACCCGUUGGGUGUCGGCCUACGAGGCGCGGAUCGUCGACUGUCGCGUCGCGUUCACGCGCGCACGCGGCAGACGCCGCCCAUCCGGCCGACUGCCCGGCGGUACAGAACGCUUUUGAAUUACGGUAAAGAGCCGCACCAAGUGCGUCCGGCUCGUCGGCAGGCUCGUCUCGCUCGGAUUUACGGACCUCGUUCGUUGCCGGGCCUUGGCGCGGCCGUUGGUCGACGAAGCUCUCGGACCGGCUCGGCUCGUUCGA